AGAAUCAACGCUGGCGGCGUGCCUAACACAUGCAAGUCGAACGAGAAAGUGGGGCAAUCCAUGAGUAAAGUGGCGCACGGGUGAGUAACACGUGACUAACCUACCCUUGAGUGGGGAAUAACUUCGGGAAACCGAGGCUAAUACCGCAUAACACCUACGGGUCAAAGGAGCAAUUCGCUUAAGGAGGGGGUCGCGGCAGAUUAGUUAGUUGGCGGGUAAUGGCCCACCGAAGACGGUGAUCUGUAU
This 246-nucleotide ribosomal RNA is filed under the name uncultured bacterium. RNAcentral describes it as "partial small subunit ribosomal RNA". It matches the Rfam family "Bacterial small subunit ribosomal RNA", at positions 26 to 286 of the family's 1533-position model. The record is from RNAcentral.